AGUGAACGCUGGCGGUAGGCCUAACACAUGCAAGUCGAACGGCAGCACAGUAAGAGCUUGCUCUUACGGGUGGCGAGUGGCGGACGGGUGAGGAAUACAUCGGAAUCUACUUUUUCGUGGGGGAUAACGUAGGGAAACUUACGCUAAUACCGCAUACGACCUACGGGUGAAAGCAGGGGAUCUUCGGACCUUGCGUGAUUGAAUGAGACGAUGUCGGAUUAGCUAGUUGGCGGGGUAAAGGCCCACCAAGGCGACGAUCCGUAGCUGGUCUGAGAGGAUGAUCAGCCACACUGGAACUGAGACACGGUCCAGACUCCUACGGGAGGCAGCAGUGGGGAAUAUUGGACAAUGGGCGCAAGCCUGAUCCAGCCAUACCGCGUGGGUGAAGAAGGCCUUCGGGUUGUAAAGCCCUUUUGUUGGGAAAGAAAAGCAGCAGGUUAAUACCCCGCUGUUCUGACGGUACCCAAAGAAUAAGCACCGGCUAACUUCGUG
Molecule: ribosomal RNA, 492 nt
Filed under: uncultured bacterium
Lineage: Bacteria
Description: partial 16S ribosomal RNA
Rfam family: Bacterial small subunit ribosomal RNA
Source: RNAcentral